This 199-nucleotide ribosomal RNA is filed under the name uncultured bacterium. Its description in RNAcentral is "partial 16S ribosomal RNA". It matches the Rfam family "Bacterial small subunit ribosomal RNA", at positions 335 to 524 of the family's 1533-position model. The record is from RNAcentral.
ACUCCUACGGGAGGCAGCAGUGGGGAAUCUUGCGCAAUGGGCGAAAGCCUGACGCAGCGACGCCGCGUGGGUGACGAAGGCCUUCGGGUUGUAAAAGCCCUGUGGGGGGAGACGAACCGGGUCGUGGCUAAUAUCCACGGUCCUUGACGGUAUCCCUUUAGCAAGCAUCGGCUAACUCUGUGCCAGCAGCCGCGGUAAU